AGAGUUUGAUCCUGGCUCAGGACGAACGCUGGCGGCGUGCUUAACACAUGCAAGUCGAGCGGUAAGGCCCUUUCGGGGGUACACGAGCGGCGAACGGGUGAGUAACACGUGGGUGACCUGCCUUUAGCUCUGGGAUAAGCCUGGGAAACUGGGUCUAAUACCGGAUAUGACCUCAUGGUGCAUGUUGUGGGGUGGAAAGCCUUGUGCGGCUAGGGAUGGGCCCGCGGCCUAUCAGCUUGUUGGUGGGGUGAUGGCCUACCAAGGCGACGACGGGUAGCCGGCCUGAGAGGGCGACCGGCCACACUGGGACUGAGACACGGCCCAGACUCCUACGGGAGGCAGCAGUGGGGAAUCUUGCGCAAUGGGCGAAAGCCUGACGCAGCGACGCCGCGUGCGCGAUGAAGGCCUUCGGGUCGUAAAGCGCUUUUCUGAGAGAUGAGAAAGGACAGUAUCUCAGGAAUAAGUCUCGGCUAACUACGUGCCAGCAGCCGCGGUAU
RNAcentral lists this ribosomal RNA (497 nucleotides) under uncultured Actinomycetes bacterium. RNAcentral's name for it is "bacterial SSU rRNA". It matches the Rfam family "Bacterial small subunit ribosomal RNA", at positions 8 to 523 of the family's 1533-position model. Lineage: Bacteria; Bacillati; Actinomycetota; Actinomycetes. The record is from RNAcentral.